Molecule: ribosomal RNA, 468 nt
Filed under: uncultured bacterium
Lineage: Bacteria
Description: partial 16S ribosomal RNA
Rfam family: Bacterial small subunit ribosomal RNA
Source: RNAcentral
GACGAACGCUGGCGGCGUGCUUAACACAUGCAAGUCGAACGGAAAGGCCCUGCUUUGGUGGGGUGCUCGAGUGGCGAACGGGUGAGUAACACGUGAGUAACCUGCCCUGGACUUUGGGAUAACUUCAGGAAACUGGGGCUAAUACCGGAUAGGAGCUCCGGCUGCAUGGUGGGGGUGGGAAAGUUUCGGCGGUUGGGGAUGGACUCGCGGCUUAUCAGCUUGUGGGUGGGGUAGUGGCUUACCAAGGCUUUGACGGGUAGCCGGUCUGAGAGGGUGACCGGACACAUUGGGAGUGAGAUACGGCCCAGACUCAUACGGGAGGGAGCAGUGGGGAAUAUUGCAAAAUGGGCGGAAGCCUGAUGCAGCAACGCCGCGUGCGGGAUGACGGCCUUCGGGUUGUAAACCGCUUUCGCCUGUGACGAAGCGUGAGUGACGGUAAUGGGUAAAGAAGCACCGGCUAACUACGUG